RNAcentral lists this ribosomal RNA (253 nucleotides) under uncultured bacterium. RNAcentral's name for it is "partial 16S ribosomal RNA". It matches the Rfam family "Bacterial small subunit ribosomal RNA", at positions 524 to 776 of the family's 1533-position model. The record is from RNAcentral.
UACGAAGGGUGCAAACGUUGCUCGGAAUUAUUGGGCGUAAAGCGCACGUAGGCGGCUUGGCAAGUCGGAUGUGAAAUCCCUCGGCUCAACCAAGGAAGUGCAUCCGAAACUGCUGAGCUUGAGUACUUAAGAGGAUCGCGGAAUUCCCGGUGUAGAGGUGAAAUUCGUAGAUAUCAGGAGGAACACCGGUGGCGAAGGCGGGUCUCUGGGCCGAUAUUGACGCUGAGGAGCGAAAGCGUGGGGAGCGAACAGG